This 404-nucleotide ribosomal RNA is filed under the name uncultured bacterium. Its description in RNAcentral is "bacterial SSU rRNA". It matches the Rfam family "Bacterial small subunit ribosomal RNA", at positions 355 to 776 of the family's 1533-position model. The record is from RNAcentral.
UGGGGGAUAUUGCACAAUGGGGGAAACCCUGAUGCAGCGACGCCGCGUGAGUGAAGAAGUAUUUCGGUAUGUAAAGCUCUAUCAGCAGGGACGAAGAUGACGGUACCUGAGUAAGAAGCCCCGGCUAACUACGUGCCAGCAGCCGCGGUAAUACGUAGGGGGCAAGCGUUAUCCGGAUUUACUGGGUGUAAAGGGAGCGUAGACGGUCAAGCAAGUCUGGAGUGAAAGGCGGGGGCUCAACCCCCGGACUGCUCUGGAAACUGUAUGACUGGAGUGCAGGAGGGGUAAGUGGAAUUCCUAGUGUAGCGGUGAAAUGCGUAGAUAUUAGGAGGAACACCAGUGGCGAAGGCGGCUUACUGGACUGUAACUGACGUUGAGGCUCGAAAGCGUGGGGAGCAAACAGG